GAUCUACUCUUCUCUGGCGCACACACACUCUUCUGCGGAUCUGAGCCUCGACGUGCUGCAUCGGGAAAACCAGGAGUGCUGGCGGUGUCUGGAGCCCAGAGGGGAAAAAAACAUAAAUAAAUUACAUCCGUUUUGUGAAUCGGCCCUGGAGUCAGCAAGAAUGCAGGAAGAUGGCAAAUUUACAUCACCAAAGACAAUUUGUACAUGGAGCAUAACAGCAAAAAUAGGCUCAUAAAUCACAUUAGCUGCGGCCCUGAGUGCCAUCGAUUACCUCACGGCACAAUGAAUGGGGACAUUAAAGCCUCUGGUGCCUAAACAUCCACAUCAGGAGCCUCUGCGCGGGAUAUACGAGGCCAGGACCCCCCCGAGACGAGAAGGAGAGGGAACAUCAGAUGCGGCCGGUCUGGAAUCUGAAAGAAGGAAGGAGGAUCCAGCUGAGAAUAUCAUUCUGGCACAUCGCCGGCUGAGGUUUCAAGUAUGAAAUGAGAUGAGAUUGGAGCGACUGCUGUAACCUUUAAGGAGAUUGCCGAGCUGAACUAGGUCAUGUAACAUCCAGCCGGGUUUGAUAAAAGUGUUUCAGUUCCAGAGAUGCAGACAUUGAUUUGUUUGGUCUUUCCUCCACAGCAUCAGUGCCAUGAGAAAUCGGCUCCAAAGAAAGUAAGCAUACCAUAUUUUCUUUUUUGAGUGUCUGACAGCUUUUCCUGACACUGGUGUGAUCUACGUCAGGAAACCCUGUCAAUCACACACUGGGUUAAUCAUCAAACGUUGUACAUGACACCAUUUCUGAAAGCCUGCUCACAGUGCCAUUCUGAAUUCUGUUCUUACAUAUUCAAAACUUCAGCUUCAUACUUCAUAAGACAGAAUAAUAAAAAAGGACUUGGGCCAAUGACUUUCAUGAGAGUGUAUUUAACAGUCGUCUCAGACACUCCUGAAAUAUCCCAGAGAAAAAGUGUAAAGUGUUGUUCGGGGUCGGAGUGUUCAUCGCAGGUGUGUUAGUGUUGUGCGGAACGAGCCGGGAUUUAUUUAUUUAUUUAUAAACAUUUAUUAGAGGAUCAGCCCCAUGAGAUGAAACAUCUCGUUUUCAUGGGGGUCCUCAGUAAUAUUUCCAAAUAAUAAAGAAAAGCAAAGAAGAAGAAGAAAAGCAAGAAGUGCUGCAUUUUAUCAUUUAAACAUGUGAAUUUUCAUGAAAAUUCUAUAAUCCAAGAUUGCUGCCACCAUAUGAUGUCAUAAUAUGCAAAUUAGAUGGGAAAAUGUAAUCCCUAAACUGUGGGUUAUCCUUAAUAUUUCUCUAAUUUACGGAAAGUCUCUAUCUUUUAUCCCUUUUAAGAUAUAGCCUUUUGAAAUUAAGAAGGACGUUUUAGGAAAAAUCAAAUGUUUUAGGAAAAAAACUAAAGGAUUAAAGAACAUUAAGGUUAUAAAAACUUUGGACCCCAUUGACAUUCAUUGUUUAGGUAAAUAACAAACAAUCUAAAAUAUUAUUCUAAAUAUUUAAUCAUUCAUUAUUCAAAAGCAUGUUUAAAGCUCCUUUAAUGAACAUUCAGGUUAGAAAAAUGUGGACCCCUUUGACAUUUGCUAUAUUGGCAAAAAACAAACAAAAACAUUAAUCAGAAUAUUUCAUUAUUCAAAAUAUGAUGACAGCAUUGUCAUUGCUGGGCCAAUUAUUCCUUUAAGACUGCUUUGCCAUGUUCUUUUUACCAUCUCGGCUGUGCAAGCUGUGACUCUCUGUGCCUUUCCCUGUGUGUGCACUGUAUAAUGUAUAUUAGCGCUCUCCAUGAAGCGGCUCAGCCACUGCUGGAACUCUGUAAAUGUCACUGAUGGUAUUAAAGAGGAUAGUGAUCAUUCCUAGCAGUCAUUUCCAGUGCUGACGUGCGAGACCUGGAAACCUAAUCAUGAGACUGCUGUAUAUCAAUGUGCCUUGACAGAAUUCAUAUUUUCUUCCUUACAACACUAAAUGUUUUAUUUUUUUGCCAUGGACAGUAUUUGAUGACCAUGUCCCCUUCUUCUUUCCAUUAUUUCUUAUUCAAUGCCUGUCCAGCUUCGUCAAAUACAGUCAGAUUCUAUGUAAGAGCAAGUUAACCUGGCCAAUAACAACGGCUGUGAUUCUAAAUCUGAACCUCCUGUCCUUGCCCACUCCCAUUGGUCGAAUCCUCUUCAGACAGCAUUGUUUUCGCUCCCUGUGAUCUAAGGGAUCACAUUACUGAGUGAAAAUACUUCCUUCAAUCCCAGUGUAAUGAGUCUCUAUAGACAAAUGACAUCAGGUUGAUUUCCCUGAAAGAUCCCCAGUUUGAUUGCUGCAAUAUUCAUUGUUAGUCAUUAUAGUAAUUAUUAUUGAAAACAGAUAUUAUUGAAAUAGAAAUCCUGUAACAUCUGCAAUUGCGGGUGGCUCCUCUACUAAAUGAUUGCAACUUUCACACACAUCUGAUCGACAGAUAAACUGGGGUAAACUUUAUAAUUCAACUGAACGGUGCACAUCCAUUUCAGACAUAUCCUUCAUUAUGUUCUUUCUCCAUCCAUGCAAUCAAUGCAUGUCCACGAAUGAGGGCUGAUUUCCUGCCGAUUUACUUCAGGUAAUGUCUAUGGUUUGGUCUAUUUCUGAGGUGGCCAAAGUUAGAAUUUAAAAUGCACUGAUUAACAGUUCUUU
Molecule: long non-coding RNA, 2641 nt
Organism: Pimephales promelas (fathead minnow)
Lineage: Eukaryota; Metazoa; Chordata; Actinopteri; Cypriniformes; Leuciscidae
Source: RefSeq, a predicted model, not a curated record